AAGCUUACAGAAGUGAUUGUUGAUAACUCAAAUUAAUUUUUAAAAAAUGCCAAAAAAAUCCCUAAAAAACAAAUUACAGAUAGUUCAGAGUUUAUGUUUUAGGUGCGAUUUUUUUUAUUUUCUUUGGAUACUUGUAUUUAUAGUUAUUAAAUUAACAAUUUUUAAAGAACCAAGUGACUCCUAAAAGCUAGGCAUGUAAAAAAGAAAAUUUAAAGAAAAAUAAGAAAAGUUCAGCAUAGUGGAGCCAUCUAGCAUCAAGGUAAUUACUUGCAUGCCUCAGGAGCCUCAGAGGGUACAUAAUACUUACUCAAAUUGAAUAUCUGAGUCAAGGGAAAAAAAUUAAAUUAUGUUCAGUUCAAAAGCUUUGACAUCAAAAGCAGUGAACUUCAGUUGUUGAUUUCCCCUCACAGUAGGAUGCUUGCUGGUGAUUAGGACAAUUAAUGGGGCCUGAGGGAAAAAACGGGUGGGGAAAAGAAGGGUGUGGUCCAAGUCUUGCUAGGAAAGAUAACCAGGGCUUCAAACCUGGCUUGUAGAAGCUCCUGGGUAAACAAAAGCAAAAAUUUACCUAGGAGACUUCAUGAACCUUAUAAUUUGGGGUUGAAGCAAAAUAGCCGAGAAGCAAGAAAAGAUAGUAAGACAUUUAUAGAGAGAUUUCAAUGUUUGCAAAGUGCUUUACAUAGAUGUUUAUUUGAUCCUCGAAACAACCAAUUCAUUAUAAAGACCAAAUCCUAAGUCUAGAAGCUAGAAGCGACCUCAGACAUCAUCUGCUCCAACCUUCUAAUUUUGCAGAUGAGGAAACAGUCGGGAGGAACUGGAAAGAGGAAGCCCCAAACUUCCUUAAAGAAAGUCCCAGAGCUGGAUUCGCUCAUGUACAGUGCCGGACACUUCACUACUUCUCUCUUUAAUGACUUCACUUUCACUAUUGCAAUCCUUGGGAGAGGACGUGUCGGUGGUAGCUGGUGGAGCUGUGGAUGAUGAGGAUGAGCUAGAAAGAAACUGACAUCAAAGAGAUUAAGUGAAUUGACCGUGGUCUCAACUAAUAUACUUCUGAAAUAGGAUUCAAACCCAGAUCUGCAUGACUCAGAGUUCAACACUCUAACCAUAAAGAUGCCACAUUCCCUUUCCAGUUUCAUAAAAUAAUGCAGGAGUCGAGUUGAAUAAGGAAAUUGUGAAAGUGACCUGGAGGGUUUUGAACUUGGAAAAAUGGUCCAAAAUUGAAUUCAUGGAGGAAAAAUGUGGGAGAAUCCAAGAAGCUGAAGAACAACUUGUCGUAAAGUAGAAGAGCUCAAUCUGAACAAGGCAAAAGAUUGAAUAGAAAUACUGCAGAGGAUUCCAGGAAGAGUAUGAGUAGGAAAAGGAGACCCACCGUUUUCCAGAGCUAAGGUCCAGCAAGCAAGGUGUGCCCUGAACUCGGCAUAACAACAAUCCUUUGCACUCCUUCUGGAUGAACUCUGCUGCAGCAAAAUACCAGAAUUGUUUCGCACCAGCACCAGGUGGUCCCUGAGCUUGGACAAACACCUGCAGGAACCAUGUUCCAGUCAUGAAGACCUGCUAUGAAUCAAACUUGCCUCAUUGUUGCUGUCACCCCCUCACUGGCAUGGCUACAGCUCACUGUGUAGCCACAACUACCUAUCUAAGUUUAGCCUCAUUGUCUUGGGUCUCCUCCUAGAGGAGGCCUUGGCAUGUGUAUCUAGUUUCCGUCCUCCAAAGGAAUAAAGAAUGCUUUUUGCUUA
Molecule: long non-coding RNA, 1733 nt
Organism: Vombatus ursinus (common wombat)
Lineage: Eukaryota; Metazoa; Chordata; Mammalia; Diprotodontia; Vombatidae
Exons: 5
Source: RefSeq, a predicted model, not a curated record